Molecule: ribosomal RNA, 253 nt
Filed under: uncultured bacterium
Lineage: Bacteria
Description: partial 16S ribosomal RNA
Rfam family: Bacterial small subunit ribosomal RNA
Source: RNAcentral
UACGUAGGGUGCGAGCGUUGUCCGGAAUUACUGGGCGUAAAGAGCUCGUAGGUGGUUUGUCGCGUUGUCCGUGAAAACUCACAACUCAAUUGUGGGCGUGCGGGCGAUACGGGCAGACUGGAGUACUGCAGGGGAGACUGGAAUUCCUGGUGUAGCGGUGGAAUGCGCAGAUAUCAGGAGGAACACCGGUGGCGAAGGCGGAUCUCUGGGCCUUACCUGACGCUCAGGUGCGAAAGCUAGGGGAGCGAACAGG